This 434-nucleotide ribosomal RNA is filed under the name uncultured eukaryote. Its description in RNAcentral is "SSU rRNA". It matches the Rfam family "Eukaryotic small subunit ribosomal RNA", at positions 412 to 851 of the family's 1831-position model. The record is from RNAcentral.
CAUCCAAGGAAGGCAGCAGGCGCGCAAAUUACCCAAUCCCGGUACGGGGAGGUAGUGACGAAAAAUAACAAUACGGGUUGCACUUAUGUGUACUCGUAAUUGGAAUGAGUACAGUUUAAAUCCUUUAACGAGGAUCAAUUGGAGGGCAAGUCUGGUGCCAGCAGCCGCGGUAAUUCCAGCUCCAAUAGCGUAUAUUAAAAGUUGUUGUGGUUAAAAAGCUCGUAGUUGGAUCUCAGCCCACGCUUGGCGGUCCACAAUGCGUGGUUACUGCCAGGCUGGGCACUCUACCGCCUCUGUCCUGUGGUGCCCUUAACCGAGUGUCACAGGCGGUCGGUACGUUUACUUUGAAAAAAUUAGAGUGCUCAAAGCAGGCAUUCGCCUGAAUACUGUUGCAUGGAAUAAUGAAAUAGGACUUGGUUCUAUUUGUUGGUCUU